Molecule: ribosomal RNA, 1463 nt
Filed under: Nitratireductor sp. RCC15
Lineage: Bacteria; Pseudomonadati; Pseudomonadota; Alphaproteobacteria; Hyphomicrobiales; Phyllobacteriaceae
Description: bacterial SSU rRNA
Rfam family: Bacterial small subunit ribosomal RNA
Source: RNAcentral
AGCCAGGGGGCAGCUUACCAUGCAGUCGAGCGCCCCUCCUUGGGAGCGGUUGAAGGAUGUUUCAUUGAAGAGAAUAUACCAAAAAGCUCCGAAUAACUCUUGGAAGCUGGAAGGGAGCCGUAUACGCCCUUCGGGGGAUGGUAUAUCGGAGUUGGAUGAGAAUAACUCUGGUUAACUUGUUGGUGGGGUAAAGGCCUACUUUGGCGGAAAUCUUUAUCUGGUUUGAAAGGAUGAUCGUCUGACUGGGACUCGAGACACGGCCCGGACUCCUUACGGGAGGCAUCAGUGGGGAAUAUUCGGAACAAAGGGCGCCAAGCCUGAUCCACUGAUGCCGCGUGAAGUGAUGAAGGCCCUAAGGGUUGUAAAGCUCUAUCACCCGUGGAAGAUAAUGACUGUUACCUGGAGAACGAACGCCCCGGCUAACUUGCGUGCCAGCAUCCACGGUAAUACCAACGGGGCUAACGUUGUUCGGAAUUACAGGACAUAAACCGCACAUAUGCCGGACCAUUAAGUCAGGGGUGAAAUCCGGGGGCUCAAUCUCCGGAACUGUCUUUGAUACUGGUGGUCUCUAGUUCGAGAGAUGUGAGUGGGAUUACAAGUGUAGACGUGAAACUCGAACAUCUUCUGAGGAACACCAUUGCCGAUUGCGGCUCACUGGCUCGAUACUGACGCUGAGAUGCGAAAUCGUGGGGAGUUAAACAGGAUUACCAUACCCUGGAUAGUCCACCACCGUACACGAUGGAAAGCUAUCAGUUGCCAAGGUUUACCUGUCGGUGGCGCAGCUAACGCAUUAAGCUUCCCCGCCUGGAGGAGUACGGUCGCAAGACUUAAAACUCAAAGGAAUUGACGGGGGCCCCGCCACAAGCGGUGAGAGCAUGUGGUUUAAUUCGAAAGCAACGCCGCAGUAACCUUACCCAGCCCUUUGACAUCUUGGGUCGCGGAAACCGGAGACGGUUUCCUUUCAGUUUAGGCUGGACCCCAAGAACAGGUGCUGCAUGGCUUGUCGUCAGCGUUCUGUGUCGUGAGAUGUUGGGUUAAGUUCCCGUCAACGCAGCGACACCACCACUCGCCCUUAAGUUUGCCAGCAUUUCAGAUUUGGGCGACGUUCUUAAGGGAGACUGCGCGGUGGAUUAAGACCGAGAAAGAGAAGGAUGCGGUGAUGACGUCUAAGUUUCCCCUCAUGGCCCUUACGGGCUGGGCUACACACGUGCUACAAUGGUGGUGACAGUGGGCAGCGAGACCGCGAGGUCGAGCUAAUCUCCAAAAGCCAUCUCAGUUCGGAUUGCACUCUGCAACUCGGGUGCAUGAAGUUGGAAUCGCUAGUAAUCGCGGAUCAGCAUGCCGCGGUGAAUACGUUCCCGGGCCUUGUACACACCGCCCGUCACACCAUGGGAGUUGGGUUUACCCGAAGGCAGUGCGCUAACCGCAAGGAGGCAGCUGACCACGGUAGCUCAGCGACUAGG